Molecule: long non-coding RNA, 715 nt
Organism: Labeo rohita (rohu)
Lineage: Eukaryota; Metazoa; Chordata; Actinopteri; Cypriniformes; Cyprinidae
Exons: 3
Source: RefSeq, a predicted model, not a curated record
AAAAUAUAACCCUGUAUUUUUAAGAUUAUUAUUGGAUUAUUUUGUUUAGCAGGUAGCUGGGCAGUUGUGAAGGUCUUCUGUGAGGUGGAGACACAGAAGAAUUCAAGAUGGAUUGCCAUGGCAAUGACUCUGACUCCAGUGAUGACAGCAGUGCCUCCAAUAACAGCAUUGAACAUCCUCCUUCUUUAAACCAACUGUUUAAAAAACAUGAGUACACCAUAAAGAAAAAACUUGGACAAGGGAUUUCAGGAAAAGCAUUUCUGGUGGUCAACCCAGAUGGAGAUUCCUUUGUGAUCAAAGAGAUCUACUAUGGAAUGGUAAGUACAAUCUUGAAAUUUGCUUUUCACUCAGUAGCCAAUUUGACUACUAGUGUUUAAAUUACUGACCAUUUACAACUUCUAUAAAGCCAAUAUCAGAAAUAAAUCAGAUUAUCAAAGUCUUGUUACUGAAAUAUGCACAUGCUUCUUCUAGCCUACUGGGUGAAGUCAGUACAUACAUAUAGGUCAAUAUCACUAAAAAGUGCCUUUGGUAUCCUCACCAGAAUCACUCACUCAUCAUGACCAUAAUGCAAAAUAAUGAAAUUCUGAGGUUUUAAUAUAAAUGGCCAAACAUUUACACACAUACAAGUACAACGAUAAGUCUCUUGAAAUAUGUUUUUCUCAUUUUGUAACAUUUUCUUUGAUUGGAUGUAUGUGAUUAUGGCAUGUCCCUCACA